AUUAGUGCUGGUAUGAUCGCAUCU
RNAcentral lists this small nuclear RNA (24 nucleotides) under Arabidopsis thaliana (thale cress). RNAcentral's name for it is "snRNA_04050". Lineage: Eukaryota; Viridiplantae; Streptophyta; Magnoliopsida; Brassicales; Brassicaceae. The record is from RNAcentral.